This 562-nucleotide ribosomal RNA is filed under the name uncultured bacterium. RNAcentral's name for it is "bacterial SSU rRNA". It matches the Rfam family "Bacterial small subunit ribosomal RNA", at positions 338 to 916 of the family's 1533-position model. The record is from RNAcentral.
CCUACGGGAGGCAGCAGUGGGGAAUCUUGCGCAAUGGGGGCAACCCUGACGCAGCCAUGCCGCGUGAAUGAUGAAGGCCUUAGGGUUGUAAAGUUCUUUUGCCCGUGACGAUGAUGACGGUAACGGGAGAAUAAGCUCCGGCUAACUUCGUGCCAGCAGCCGCGGUAAUACGAAGGGGGGCUAGCGUUGUUCGGAAUUACUGGGCGUAAAGCGCGCGCAGGCGGUUCGAUAAGUUAGGGGUGAAAUCCCUGGGCUCAACCCAGGAAUGGCCUUUAAGACUGUCGAGCUAGAGGACGAGAGAGGUGAGUGGAAUUCCCAGUGUAGAGGUGAAAUUCGUAGAUAUUGGGAAGAACACCGGUGGCGAAGGCGGCUCACUGGCUCGUUUCUGACGCUGAGGCGCGAAAGCGUGGGGAGCAAACAGGAUUAGAUACCCUGGUAGUCCACGCCCUAAACGAUGAGUGCCAGGUGUCGGGAAGCUUAGCUUCUCGGCGCCGCAGCUAACGCCUUAAGCACUCCGCCUGGGGAGUACGGCCGCAAGGUUAAAACUCAAAGGAAUUGACGG